GGCCGGGUAGCUCAGUCGGUAGAGCAUUCGCCUUACAAUCUAAGGGUUGUGGGUUCGAUCCCCGGUCACCGCCA
This 74-nucleotide transfer RNA is filed under the name Clytia hemisphaerica. RNAcentral's name for it is "tRNA-Val for anticodon UAC". It matches the Rfam family "tRNA". From Rfam's summary of the family: Transfer RNA (tRNA) molecules are approximately 80 nucleotides in length. Their secondary structure includes four short double-helical elements and three loops (D, anti-codon, and T loops). Lineage: Eukaryota; Metazoa; Cnidaria; Hydrozoa; Leptothecata; Clytiidae. The record is from Rfam by way of RNAcentral.